UGGGGAAUAUUGCACAAUGGGCGCAAGCCUGAUGCAGCCAUGCCGCGUGUGUGAAGAAGGCCUUCGGGUUGUAAAGCACUUUCAGCGAGGAGGAAGGCGUUAAGGUUAAUAACCUUAGCGAUUGACGUUACUCGCAGAAGAAGCACCGGCUAACUCCGUGCCAGCAGCCGCGGUAAUACGGAGGGUGCAAGCGUUAAUCGGAAUUACUGGGCGUAAAAGCGCACGCAGGCGGUUUGUUAAGUCAGAUGUGAAAUCCCCGAGCUUAACUU
RNAcentral lists this ribosomal RNA (269 nucleotides) under uncultured bacterium. RNAcentral describes it as "partial 16S ribosomal RNA". It matches the Rfam family "Bacterial small subunit ribosomal RNA", at positions 355 to 615 of the family's 1533-position model. The record is from RNAcentral.